GAGUUUGAUCAUGGCUCAGAACGUACGCUGGCGGCACGCCUAACACAUGCAAGUCGAACGAAGUAGCAAUACUUAGUGGCAGACGGGUGAGUAACAUGUAGGUAUCUACCCUUUGGCCUGGAAUAACACGAGGAAACUUGUGCUAAUACCGGAUAAGUCUUUACGGAGAAAGCUUUAUGCACCAUUGGAUGAGCCUGCACUUGAUUAGUUUGUUGGUGGGGUAAUGGCCUACCAAGACUGUGAUCAAUAGCUGAUUUGAGAGGAUGAUCAGCCACAUUGGGACUGAGACACGGCCCAAACUCCUACGGGAGGCAGCAGUGGGGAAUCUUGCACAAUGGAGGAAACUCUGAUGCAGCGAUGCCGCGUGAGUGAAGAAGGCCUUUGGGUUGUAAAGCUCUUUCGUCGGGGAAGAAAAUGACUGUACCCGAAUAAGAAGGUCCGGCUAACUUCGUGCCAGCAGCCGCGGUAAUACGAAGGGACCUAGCGUAGUUCGGAAUUACUGGGCUUAAAGAGUUCGUAGGUGGUUGAAAAAGUUAGUGGUGAAAUCCCAGAGCUUAACUCUGGAACUGCCAUUAAAACUUUUCAGCUAGAGUAUGAUAGAGGAAAGCAGAAUUUCUAGUGUAGAGGUGAAAUUCGUAGAUAUUAGAAAGAAUACCAAUUGCGAAGGCAGCUUUCUGGAUCAUUACUGACACUGAGGAACGAAAGCAUGGGUAGCGAAGAGGAUUAGAUACCCUCGUAGUCCAUGCCGUAAACGAUGUGUGUUAGACGUUGGAAAUUUAUUUUCAGUGUCGCAGGGAAACCGAUAAACACACCGCCUGGGGAGUACGACCGCAAGGUUAAAACUCAAAUGAAUUGACGGGGACCCGCACAAGUAGUGGAGCAUGUGGUUUAAUUCGAAGAUACGCGCAGAACCUUACCAACACUUGACAUGUUCGUCGCGACUCUAAGAGAUUAGAGUUUCCGGUUCGGCCGGACGAAACACAGGUGCUGCAUGGCUGUCGUCAGCUCGUGUCGUGAGAUGUUGGGUUAAGUCCCGCAACGAGCGCAACCCUCACUUUUAGUUGCCAUCAUUAAGUUGGGCACUCUGAAAGAACUGCCAGUGAUAAGCUGGAGGAAGGUGGGGAUGACGUCAAGUCCUCAUGGCCCUUACGUGUUGGGCUACACACGUGCUACAAUGGUAUCUACAACAGGAAGCAAGACUGCGAAGUUAAGCAAAUCCCUAAAAGAUACCUCAGUUCGGAUUGCACUCUGCAACUCGAGUGCAUGAAGCUGGAAUUACUAGUAAUCGUGGAUCAGCGUGCCACGGUGAAUGCGUUCCCGGGUCUUGUACACACCGCCCGUCACACCAUGGGAGUUGGUUCUACCUUAAGGCAAGGUUUCAAACCCUUGACCACGGUAUAGUCAGCGACUGGGGUGAAGUCGUAACAAGGUAACC
RNAcentral lists this ribosomal RNA (1435 nucleotides) under uncultured marine bacterium. Its description in RNAcentral is "bacterial SSU rRNA". It matches the Rfam family "Bacterial small subunit ribosomal RNA". The record is from RNAcentral.